This 426-nucleotide ribosomal RNA is filed under the name uncultured bacterium. RNAcentral describes it as "bacterial SSU rRNA". It matches the Rfam family "Bacterial small subunit ribosomal RNA", at positions 356 to 773 of the family's 1533-position model. The record is from RNAcentral.
GAGGAAUUUUGCGCAAUGGGAGCAAUCCUGACGCAGCAACGCCGCGUGGGCGAUGAAGGCCUUCGGGUCGUAAAGCCCUGUCGGGCGGGAAGAAAGAUUGUGGGUUGAAUAGGCCUGCAAGUUGACGGUACCGCCAGAGGAAGCACCGGCUAACUCCGUGCCAGCAGCCGCGGUAAUACGGAGGGUGCGAGCGUUAUUCGGAAUUACUGGGCGUAAAGCGCGUGCAGGCGGGAGAAAAAGUCUGAUGUGAAAGCCCGGGGCUCAACCCCGGAAGUGCAUUGGAAACUUUUCUUCUUGAGUCCUGGAGAGGAAGGGGGAAUUCCCGGUGUAGAGGUGAAAUUCGUAGAGAUCGGGAGGAAUACCAGUGGCGAAGGCGCCCUUCUGGACAGAGACUGACGCUGAGACGCGAAAGCGUGGGGAGCAAAC